RNAcentral lists this ribosomal RNA (422 nucleotides) under uncultured bacterium. RNAcentral describes it as "bacterial SSU rRNA". It matches the Rfam family "Bacterial small subunit ribosomal RNA", at positions 355 to 774 of the family's 1533-position model. The record is from RNAcentral.
UGAGGAAUAUUGGACAAUGGGCGCAAGCCUGAUCCAGCCAUGCCGCGUGCAGGAAGAAGCAUCUAUGGUGUGUAAACUGCUUUUGUACGGGAAGAAACACUCCUACGUGUAGGAGCUUGACGGUACCGUAAGAAUAAGGAUCGGCUAACUCCGUGCCAGCAGCCGCGGUAAUACGGAGGAUCCAAGCGUUAUCAGGAAUCAUUGGGUUUAAAGGGUCCGUAGGCGGUUUAAUAAGUCCGUGGUGAAAGCCCAUCGCUCAGCGAUGGAACGGCCAUUGAUACUGCUAGACUUGAAUUAUUAGGAAGUAACUAGAAUAUGUAGUGUAGCGGUGAAAUGCUUAGAUAUUACAUGGCAUACCACUUGCGAAGGCAGGUUACUACUAAUGGAUUGACGCUGAUGGACGAAAGCGUGGGGAGCGAACA